RNAcentral lists this long non-coding RNA (2762 nucleotides) under Helianthus annuus (common sunflower). The record is from RNAcentral. Lineage: Eukaryota; Viridiplantae; Streptophyta; Magnoliopsida; Asterales; Asteraceae.
AUGGGAUUAAUGUGCAUGUGCAGAGACAUACUUUUAUUUAUUUAUAUCUCUCACACAUAUAGACAUGUUUCUUUUACACACACAUAUAAGUAGCGAUUUGAUAUUUGGUCGUUGGCACAUGGAUAUGUAAGGAAAUUAAUUGUUUUCUAAACAUUAUUAAGCAUGUACACACAAGUGUAUGGAUCAUAUUAUUUAAACAAAAUGUGAAGGCUUUUGUUGUCUGUUUAUCAACCAAAGUGAAACCAAGAACAACACUUGUUUUGUGAAUAGCGAUCAGAACAAAAACCCGUGGAGUGCUAUAAUUUGCUAAAGGAAGACACGCGGUCUUGAAAUCAUCGAGCGUUUAACGGGUUAUUUCUUGAUACAAAGCGAAGGAACAAUGGUCAUGCUUGUGGUCAUCUCAAAAUACAGAUAAGUUAUUUCCUUUUAUGUAUAAAUCUUAUGUAUUGAUGCAUGAACAUGCAACGUGUUUUGGUUAGAAACUGAGCUCGCUUAUUGAUACGUAAGGUGUACCGUCGUGUUAGUAUCGUCUAGUGUGUUACAAGAGUUGUUUUGAAGGCUGUCGGUUUUGUCCUUAUGCAUGAUUAAAGAAUUAUGUUAACAUGAUACUUGUUAUGUUCCUACUAAUUUCGUAUCUAACUUAUAGUAAUGUUUGAUUAACUAUCUAUAAGGUGAGUUCUCAUAUUGUAAAUAAUCUUGAAUGUGUAACAUGGAAAACAUGAUUUGUAUGAACGCUUCUAUAUAUGUGGUAGAUGAUUUUAUAAAACAAGCAUGAUAUAUGACUAAAUGUAAUCUGUUCACUAGGUGUUUGUUUAAACACAAACAAGAACCAGGUAGCAAAAUAAAGGAAAUUGGUGUUAAAUUAUAUCAUCUUAUGUUCAAUAUGAAUGAAAUAAGGCUAAUUGGCAUGUUUGAUAUCUGGACUGAACGGGAUAAUUAGAGUCGCAUCUUCAUUCUCUUGAAUGAUAUUAAAUUAGUGGUUCUUUUAGUUGGAAGAGUUUGAGCCACUUUGAUAUAUUAACUCGUGUAUAUUUCUAUUGCUAAGCAUGCCUUGUUACUUUUGUUUGACAUGGAGUAUUUUCUUAAAAAUGGUUAAAUCUGUGUUAUCUCAUUCAUGUCUAUGUGAAAGGUAUUAGGCUAUGUUAAUAGCCUAGUGUUAACUACACAGGGUUCCUAAUAAAAGGAAUUAGACAACCCUUAAUAAAUUUAGAUACAUAAGCCUGGAGUUGAGCUAUCUAAUAUUUUGGGGUGGUAGUACUAUUGUACAUCUUACUGAACCUAAAAGAAAGAGUUUAGGUGAGAAAGGAAUAGAGUAUAUAUUCAUAUGCUAUGCUAAAAAUUCAUAAGCCUAUUGGUUAUGUGUCUUAGAAUUAAUGACUGGGUGUGUAAAAACUGUCAUAGAGUCAAGGAUAUCAUCCGUAAUUCUCAGAAUAGGGCUUCUGAUACUAUUGAGAAUGUCGUUGAUUCUGAUAAAGCAUCAGCUGCUCUGCUGGUAAUGACAGUGUAUCUAUUCCUUCUCAACCUAGGAAAAGCAUGAGAAAAAGAACAACUAAGUAUUUUGGUUCUAACUUUCAUCUUUAUUUAGUUGAAAGGACUAGGAGUUAAGUUGGACAUCAGGAUCAAUAUAUUAUUUUAAUAUUGAAGAUGAUCAACUCCUGAGCAAAACCUUAAACAAGCAUUGUUGAGAUGAUCCUAUCUAACGGGUUCUUUCUGAACCAAGCAGAUAAUUAUUUAUGUAGCAAUCCUGAUUCCUCUGGUAAAGGAGUAAUCGAUUGGUAUAUAGGAUUUGGAGGAAGAUGUUGUCAUCCUAUGAACAAGGAUAAGAUGGAGGAACAAGAGUAUAUUAAUAUACAGUUUCAUUACAUAGAGAAAGUGUUGAAGAAAUUCAAUUACUUUGUUAUCCGGUUAAUACUCCUAUAGGUCAUAAUAUCUAACUUGUGCGUAAACAAGGAGAAUCUAUUUCACAGAUGGUGUAUUUAAAGCAAUUGGAUGCCUAAUAUCCUACUUGUGCAUAAUCAAGGUGAAUCUAUAUAACAUAUGUUGUGGGAAACUGAGUAGAAUUACCAGUAAUCCAAGUACUCUGCAGUCGCAAGCUGUGAAUAGAUUGUUUGAAUGCUUGAAAAGAACCAUGAUUUAUGGUUUAUGUUAUUAAGGUUUUCCUUUAGUUUUAAAAGGGUAUUUUGAUGUAAGUUGUAUUAUUAAGUGGACGGGUAUUCCUACUUGGUGGAGGUGUUAUCUCCUAGGCUUCAAAGAAGCAGACUUGCAUCACAAAUUUAACAAUGGAAUCUGAACUUGUAGAUUUAGCAGCAGCUGGUAAAUAAGCUGAAUGGCUAAGAAAUUUGGUCUUUGAGAUUCCUUUGUGGUCAAAACUGAUAUCACAAUUAUCUAUCAGGUGUGAUAGUGCAGGCUAAGGUUUAUAGUCAAGUGUAUAAUGGAAAGUCUAGACGGUUGUGUAUUAUACAUAGCAUGAUUCAUGAGCUCAUCAUGCAUAGAGUGAUAUCUGUUGAAUUUGUAAGAUCUGAGUAUAAUUUGGCUGAUUAUCUAACUAAAGAGUUAGGAGAGAUCUCGUGAAUAAAUCAGUCAUAGGGAUGGGUUUAAAGUCCACACUUUAAUAUCCUAUGUCAAGAUACCCAAUUCCCAUCUAAUACAACGUUAGAUGCAGAAUUCAAUGUGGAAAGCUUGUCAUAGAGAUAUUGGAACACAUGAUCAAAAUCAUCCCAAGGUGCGAGAAUAAAAGAACUACCUAUAAGAGUAUGAAGUUU